AUUGAACGCUGGCGGAAUGCUUUACACAUGCAAGUCGAACGGCAGCACGGGGGCAGCCCUGGUGGCGCGUGGCGAACGGGUGAGUAAUACAUCGGAACGUGCCCGGUCGAGGGGGAUAACGUAGCGAAAGUUAAGCUAAUACAGUAUACGAUCAGAGGAUGAACGCGGGGGACCAUCAGGCCUAGAGCGAUUGGCGCGGCCGAUGUCAGAUUAGGUAGUUGGUGGGGUAAAGGCCUACCAAGCCGACGAUCUGUAGCAGGUCUGAGAGGACGACCAGCCACACUGGGACUGAGACACGGCCCAGACUCCUACGGGAGGCAGCAGUGGGGAAUUUUGGACAAUGGGCGCAAGCCUGAUCCAGCCAUGCCGCGUGCAGGACGAAGGCCUUCGGGUUGUAAACUGCUUUUGUACGGAACGAAAAAGCUCUGGCUAAUACCUGGGGCUCAUGACGGUACCGUAAGAAUAAGCACCGGCUAACUACGUG
Molecule: ribosomal RNA, 484 nt
Filed under: uncultured bacterium
Lineage: Bacteria
Description: partial 16S ribosomal RNA
Rfam family: Bacterial small subunit ribosomal RNA
Source: RNAcentral